UUUCCUUUUCUUUCCUCUCUUGCGCUUGCGUCUGAGUCCGUUCUGCACUGUGACUGGCGAAGCCUGAAGCAGCAGCGGCGACACCAGCUAGGCCGGACUUCCUCGCGCGCCACCUUGUUGCAGUUCGACGUCGCAGCAGCUCCGCCAGUGGUUCUACUUCAUCCUCGGCCAGAUCGCGCGGCGCCACCUCCACCAGAUCGCAUCACCGCCUUGAUCUGUCGCGCCACUGCCUGCAAUCGCUCUAGCGUGCCUCCGACCACCAGAGAUGGGUCUGAUCUGUCGCCGCCUCCGCCUCUCUGCCACUGCCAGUCGGAUUCCUCUGCCUGCAGUUCCAGUGCGCAUCCAGCACGCGUAAAUUCCCGAUCUAGCGAAAUUCGAUAAGAAAAAAAAAAUUAUAUUUGGAUGCUUACGAAGUUCCAGAACAUCAAAACAAAAGUCGAGAGCGGCAGUAAUAAAGAUAGUCCUUUAAAGGACAAUAAAGAACUUAGGUACCUCGCCACGCUGAAACUGUGUGUAAGUAUCCACGAGAGUGUGAAGAGAAUGAAAGUUUGUUUAAUUGCCAUGUUGUCACCUCUUUCCGUUCCUCCUCAGUAACCAACCCAAAUUCUGAUCGCUCAAAAAGGUAAAAAAAGAAGAUAUCGCAAGCGCAAUCCAAGGAGAAUUAAAUUUAAGGCCACGCUAAAUGGAAAACAGAAGCUUAGCAAUAAUUUUAUUCCAAUAAACUCCUCCAAGCUUUGAGUCAAGUUUGUCUGAGUCUCUCUUCACCUUCGGCACCUCGUCAAGGUUGGGCCGUUAGAGAAGUCGUUGAUAGAGCCCUUGUUGUCGCUGCAAAGGGGAGAACAAGGUGGAGUCGAGCUAUUUUAACUAGCUGAAUCAAGCUCAAGUUCGAGAAGCAACACAAGAGGCAAAGAGUGGCAGCGACUAUUGUUUCGGUGGCUGGUACAGGGAGUAGCCGAUCGAAGAAGCCGAGAGUUAGUGUUUUGAGGUUGAAGGGAAGAGUUUACUAGCUGUGCAAAGGAAAGUGCGUGUUCUAGGCAGAUUGGUUCCCGGUUGCCGGAAACAACCAUUGCUGGUUAUCCUAAUCUUGAAUAACAUUAAUAACUCAUUUUCUGAUUUUCUC
This is a non-coding RNA of Jatropha curcas, 1120 nucleotides long. Lineage: Eukaryota; Viridiplantae; Streptophyta; Magnoliopsida; Malpighiales; Euphorbiaceae. The record is from RefSeq and is a predicted model, not a curated record.